AUCGCUUCUCGGCCUUUUGGCUAAGAUCAAGUGAACUAGAUAUGUUGUAUUUCUAUAAAUAUUUUGCUUUGGGACACAAGUAAUUUGGAAAUAGUUUGAUCUUUAUACAUCUUGUUUUUAAGAUUUGACAAAUUAGAGUAGAACAGUUUCAGUCUAGGGCUAAUUAUUUCCC
Small nuclear RNA from Macaca fascicularis (crab-eating macaque), 172 nucleotides. Its record names the gene U2. It matches the Rfam family "U2 spliceosomal RNA". From Rfam's summary of the family: U2 is a small nuclear RNA (snRNA) component of the spliceosome (involved in pre-mRNA splicing). Complementary binding between U2 snRNA (in an area lying towards the 5' end but 3' to hairpin I) and the branchpoint sequence (BPS) of the intron results the bulging out of an unpaired adenosine, on the BPS, which initiates a nucleophilic attack at the intronic 5' splice site, thus starting the first of two transesterification reactions that mediate splicing. The record is from Ensembl. Lineage: Eukaryota; Metazoa; Chordata; Mammalia; Primates; Cercopithecidae.